This 549-nucleotide long non-coding RNA is filed under the name Coturnix japonica (Japanese quail). RNAcentral describes it as "lncRNA (ENSCJPG00005003406.1)". The record is from RNAcentral. Lineage: Eukaryota; Metazoa; Chordata; Aves; Galliformes; Phasianidae.
CAUCAUUUCAUCAAAGAAGUGCCUGUUUGAAUUAACAGCUCAGAUGUAUGCGGUGGCCUUUGUUAGAAAAAAAACAUUGAGCUCCCUCUGGUAGGUAGAAGACAGCUGGCAGGUACUUAGUGCCUUGUCCUGAGAGAGGAGCUCCUGGCUGAAGGAAAAAAAAGCCUGUACUCUCUUCCAACAAGAGGCACUGUGGGACCUUUAAUGUGGCUGUGGGACUGGCUUUUACUGGCUCUUAAAAAGGAAAGAAAGAAAAACAAAAGCAAACAACACAACUGUACUCAAUACAUAUUAUGAUGUGUUCUUUAUUUGGAAAGCUAAAGGAGGAAAAGGGAUCAAGGAACACUGCCAUCAGGUGUUACAGCCGCGUACAUCUUCCUUGCUAAUGCUAAAAGGAACUGCCAGACCCUGGAACUUAUGGCUCUGCUAGACUUAUCUUUUCUAUCAGCACUGAUGUGGUUGGAAUACUCUUCCUCAACAUGGAAAGGUGAGUGAAAAGCAUAAUUUUUCACUGAUUCAUAACAGGAGAUCUUGCAUACUAAAUGUACC